Molecule: ribosomal RNA, 388 nt
Filed under: uncultured bacterium
Lineage: Bacteria
Description: bacterial SSU rRNA
Rfam family: Bacterial small subunit ribosomal RNA
Source: RNAcentral
CACGUGGGUAAUCUACCCUCGAGUGGGGAAUAAGCUUCCGAAAGGGGGUAUAAUGCCGCAUAACGUUUCAUAACGAUGGUUAUGAAACCAAAGCCCAAAAGGCGCUUGAGGAGGAGCGUGCGUCCUAUCAGCUUGUUGGCAGGGUAAUGGCCUACCAAGGAUAUGUCGGGUAGCCGGCUUGAGAGGGUGUCCGGCCACACUGGAAUUGAGACACGGUCCAGACUCAUACGGGAGGCAGCAGUGGGGAAUUUUGAGCAAUGGGGGAAACCCUGACGCAGCGACGCCGCGUGGAGGAUGACGGCUUUCGGGUUGUAAACUCCUGUCAGAAGGGACGAAAUCCCGCAAGGGACUGACGGUACCUUCAGAGGAAGCCCCGGCUAACUACGUG